This 341-nucleotide ribosomal RNA is filed under the name uncultured bacterium. RNAcentral describes it as "bacterial SSU rRNA". It matches the Rfam family "Bacterial small subunit ribosomal RNA", at positions 1 to 334 of the family's 1533-position model. The record is from RNAcentral.
GUGAGUAGUUCAGAGUUUGAUCCUGGCUCAGAACGAACGCUGGCGGCGCGUCUUAAGCAUGCAAGUCGGGCGUGAUCGGUAGCUUGCUACCGUGAAAGCGGCGGACUGGUGAGUAACACGUAGAUGACGCACCCACUGGACGGGGAUAGCCUGUAGAAAUACAGGGUAAUACCGGAUGUGAUGGCCCCUUCUCGAAGGGGGUCAGGAAAGGAGCCACGGCUCCGCCAGUGGAACGGUCUGCGGCCCAUCAGCUAGUUGGCGGGGUAAGGGCCCACCAAGGCAGUGACGGGUAUCCGGCCUUAGAGGGUGAACGGACACAUUGGGACUGAGAUACGGCCCAG